UGGGGAAUAUUGCACAAUGGAGGGAACUCUGAUGCAGCGACGCCGCGUGAGUGAUGAAGGAAUUCGUUUCGUAAAACUCUGUUCUAUGGGAAGAAAAGGACUGUACCAUAGGAGAAAGCUCCGGCUAAAUAGGUGCCAGCAGCCGCGGUAAUACGUAUGGAGCGAGCGUUGUCCGGAAUUAUUGGGCGUAAAGGGUGCGCAGGCGGCUUUACAAGUUGGAUGUGAAAUAUUGUGGCUCAACCACAAACGUGCAUCCAAAACUGCAAAGCUUGAGUUAAGGAGAGGUAAGUGGAAUUCCUGGUGUAGCGGUGGAAUGCGUAGAUAUCAGGAGGAAUACCGGUGGCGAAGGCGACUUACUGGACUUAAACUGACGCUCAGGCACGAAAGCGUGGGGAGCAAACAGG
RNAcentral lists this ribosomal RNA (404 nucleotides) under Fusobacteriota bacterium. RNAcentral's name for it is "Fusobacteria bacterium partial 16S ribosomal RNA". It matches the Rfam family "Bacterial small subunit ribosomal RNA", at positions 355 to 776 of the family's 1533-position model. Lineage: Bacteria; Fusobacteriati; Fusobacteriota. The record is from RNAcentral.